This 848-nucleotide long non-coding RNA is filed under the name Mus musculus (house mouse). Its description in RNAcentral is "predicted gene, 41331". The record is from RNAcentral. Lineage: Eukaryota; Metazoa; Chordata; Mammalia; Rodentia; Muridae.
AUCAGUUAGUGAGCCGCAUCUCAGAGGUGGUUUCCCUCUUGCAACAGUCAGGUGGUGCUGUAACUCAGGAUACGGACCUUGCCCUCAGUUACUCACGUCUUCCACUGGGUAAGAAGGCUGCCUGGAGCUUGAGGGCUCUGUUUCUACCAAAAAUCCCUGGCACAAACUGGUGAGUCUAGGUCCUGAUCCUGUAUUCGAGGCUCUGUUUUGUUGACAGCAGACAAGAGGCCAAGAAGUUGGGAAGGUUUGACAACUCAGAACCCAAUGGAGACCCUCACCAAAGGUGAAAUAAUUGUUGAGCCAGUCAGGAGGAACCAUAAUUUAUACUUGUCUGUAACAUCUACACGGAAACCUAAUAUAAUGCAGUAGAAAAAGAAGAAGAAGGUGAAGGAGAAGAAGGAAGAGAAGGAAGAGAAGGAGGAAGAGAAAGAAGAUAAGGAGGAAAAGAAGGAAGAGAAGGGGAAGAAGGAGAAGAAGGAAAAGAAGGAAGAGAAGGGGAAGAAGGAGAAGAAUGAGGAGAAGAAGAAGGAAGAGAAGAAGAAGGUGAAGAAGGAGAAGAAGGAGAAGAAGGAGAAAGAGAAGGAGGAGAAGAAGGAGAAAAAGGAGGAGCAGAUGAAGCAGAAAGAGAAGGAGAAGGGGGAGAAAGAGGAGAAGGAAGAAAAGGAGGAGAAACAGAAGGAGAAAAGGAGGAGAAGAAGGAAGAGAAGGAGAAGAAGGAGGAGGAGGAAGGAGAAGGAGGAGGGAGCAGAAAGAGAAGAAGGAGAAGGAGGAAAAGAAGGAGGAGAAGGAGAAGCCCAAAAGAGAAGAAGAAGGAGAAGGAGAAGCAGAAAGAGAAGAAGGAGAAGGAG